This 30-nucleotide non-coding RNA is filed under the name Homo sapiens (human). The record is from RNAcentral. Lineage: Eukaryota; Metazoa; Chordata; Mammalia; Primates; Hominidae.
UGAACAUACAGAAAGGGAAACUAAAUACGG